GAUCCUGCGCCGAAAAUGUAACGGGGCUAAACACAUUACCGAAAUCGUGGAUGUACCUUAGGGUACAUGGUAGGAGAGCGUUCUAAGGACGGCGAAGCUAGACCGUAAGGACUGGUGGAGUGCUUAGAAGUGAGAAUGCCGGUAUGAGUAGCGAAAGAUCAGUGAGAAUCUGGUCCACCGUAUGACUAAGGUUUCCUGGGGAAGGCUCGUCCUCCCAGGGUUAGUCGGGACCUAAGCCGAGGCCGAGAGGCGUAGGCGAUGGAUAACAGGUUGAGAUUCCUGUACUGGUUAAACUUGUUUGAACAAUGGAGGGACGCAGGAGGCUAUC
Molecule: ribosomal RNA, 328 nt
Filed under: Ligilactobacillus salivarius
Lineage: Bacteria; Bacillati; Bacillota; Bacilli; Lactobacillales; Lactobacillaceae
Description: partial 23S ribosomal RNA
Rfam family: Bacterial large subunit ribosomal RNA
Source: RNAcentral